AUACGGAGGGUGCAAGCGUUAUCCGGAAUCAUUGGGUUUAAAGGGUCCGCAGGCGGUCAAUUAAGUCAGAGGUGAAAGCCCAUCGCUCAACGAUGGAACUGCCUUUGAUACUGGUUGACUUGAGUUAUACGGAAGUAGAUAGAAUAAGUAGUGUAGCGGUGAAAUGCAUAGAUAUUACUUAGAAUACCGAUUGCGAAGGCAGUCUACUACGUAUAUACUGACGCUGAGGGACGAAAGCGUGGGGAGCGAGCAGGAUUAGAAACCCCAGUAGUCC
Molecule: ribosomal RNA, 274 nt
Filed under: uncultured bacterium
Lineage: Bacteria
Description: partial 16S ribosomal RNA
Rfam family: Bacterial small subunit ribosomal RNA
Source: RNAcentral